Molecule: long non-coding RNA, 230 nt
Filed under: Fukomys damarensis (Damara mole-rat)
Lineage: Eukaryota; Metazoa; Chordata; Mammalia; Rodentia; Bathyergidae
Description: lncRNA (ENSFDAG00000029367.1)
Source: RNAcentral
GUGAAUCCUGGAGUGAUGCUGCACAUGAAAUCCACACUGAAAGCAGGCUCUUCCCAAGAUGGGCUGUCCUCCGUCCUGCUAAUGUGUGACCAUCUGCUGGGGCCUCCGACUGUCAGAACCAGAAGUCCUGCUUCUUGCUUCCUGCCCCCAUCUCUGGGCUCCUUUGUGUCUUCUUGAUCAUUGUCAGCCACUUUGGGAUGACCUCCCAGUCCAACCUCCGUGAACCCUGC